RNAcentral lists this ribosomal RNA (164 nucleotides) under uncultured bacterium. RNAcentral describes it as "partial 16S rRNA". It matches the Rfam family "Bacterial small subunit ribosomal RNA", at positions 355 to 511 of the family's 1533-position model. The record is from RNAcentral.
UAGGGAAUCUUCCACAAUGGACGCAAGUCUGAUGGAGCAACGCCGCGUGAGUGAAGAAGGGUUUCGGCUCGUAAAGCUCUGUUGUUAAAGAAGAACGUGGGUGAGAGUAACUGUUCACCCAGUGACGGUAUUUAACCAGAAAGCCACGGCUAACUACGUGCCAC